RNAcentral lists this ribosomal RNA (2877 nucleotides) under Burkholderia multivorans. RNAcentral describes it as "bacterial LSU rRNA". It matches the Rfam family "Bacterial large subunit ribosomal RNA". Lineage: Bacteria; Pseudomonadati; Pseudomonadota; Betaproteobacteria; Burkholderiales; Burkholderiaceae. The record is from RNAcentral.
UCAAGCGAACAAGUGCAUGUGGUGGAUGCCUUGGCGAUCACAGGCGAUGAAGGACGCGGUAGCCUGCGAAAAGCCCCGGGGAGCUGGCAAACAAGCUUUGAUCCGGGGAUGUCCGAAUGGGGAAACCCACUCCUUUUGGAGUAUCCAUAGCUGAAUACAUAGGCUAUGUGAAGCGAACGCGGUGAACUGAAACAUCUAAGUAACCGCAGGAAAAGAAAUCAACCGAGAUUCCCAAAGUAGUGGCGAGCGAAAUGGGAUGAGCCUUGUACUCUUUAUUUGUAUUGUUAGCCGAACGCUCUGGAAAGUGCGGCCAUAGCAGGUGAUAGCCCUGUAGGCGAAAACAGUAUGAAAGAACUAGGUGUACGACAAGUAGGGCGGGACACGUGAAAUCCUGUCUGAAGAUGGGGGGACCAUCCUCCAAGGCUAAAUACUCGUGAUCGACCGAUAGUGAACCAGUACCGUGAGGGAAAGGCGAAAAGAACCCCGGGAGGGGAGUGAAAUAGAUCCUGAAACCGCAUGCAUACAAACAGUCGGAGCCUCGUAAGGGGUGACGGCGUACCUUUUGUAUAAUGGGUCAGCGACUUACGUUCAGUAGCAAGCUUAACCGUAUAGGGCAGGCGUAGCGAAAGCGAGUCCGAAUAGGGCGUUCAGUUGCUGGGCGUAGACCCGAAACCAGGUGAUCUAUCCAUGGCCAGGAUGAAGGUGCGGUAACACGUACUGGAGGUCCGAACCCACUAACGUUGAAAAGUUAGGGGAUGAGCUGUGGAUAGGGGUGAAAGGCUAAACAAACCUGGAAAUAGCUGGUUCUCUCCGAAAACUAUUUAGGUAGUGCCUCGUGUCUCACCUUCGGGGGUAGAGCACUGUCAUGGUUGGGGGGUCUAUUGCAGAUUACCCCGCCAUAGCAAACUCCGAAUACCGAAGAGUGCAAUCACGGGAGACAGACAUCGGGUGCUAACGUCCGGUGUCAAGAGGGAAACAACCCAGACCGCCAGCUAAGGUCCCCAAAUAUGGCUAAGUGGGAAACGAAGUGGGAAGGCUAAAACAGUCAGGAGGUUGGCUUAGAAGCAGCCACCCUUUAAAGAAAGCGUAAUAGCUCACUGAUCGAGUCGUCCUGCGCGGAAGAUGUAACGGGGCUAAGCCAUAUACCGAAGCUGCGGAUGCGUGCUUGCACGCAUGGUAGGAGAGCGUUCCGUAAGCCUGCGAAGGUGCCUUGUAAAGGGUGCUGGAGGUAUCGGAAGUGCGAAUGCUGACAUGAGUAGCGAUAAAGGGGGUGAAAGGCCCCCUCGCCGUAAGCCCAAGGUUUCCUACGCAACGUUCAUCGGCGUAGGGUGAGUCGGCCCCUAAGGCGAGGCAGAAAUGCGUAGCUGAUGGGAAGCAGGUCAAUAUUCCUGCACCGUCGUUAGAUGCGAUGGGGGGACGGAUCGCGGAAGGUUGUCCGGGUGUUGGACGUCCCGGUCGCUGCAUUGGAGAAGGCGCUUAGGCAAAUCCGGGCGCAGGAUUCAAGGGUGUGGCGCGAGCGACUUCGGUCGCGAAGCAAUUGGAAGUGGUUCCAAGAAAAGCCUCUAAGCUUCAGUCUAACGAUGACCGUACCGCAAACCGACACAGGUGGGCGAGAUGAGUAUUCUAAGGCGCUUGAGAGAACUCGGGAGAAGGAACUCGGCAAAUUGGUACCGUAACUUCGGGAUAAGGUACGCCCUUGUAGCUUGACUGGCCUGCGCCAGGAGGGUGAAGGGGUUGCAAUAAACUGGUGGCUGCGACUGUUUAAUAAAAACACAGCACUCUGCAAACACGAAAGUGGACGUAUAGGGUGUGACGCCUGCCCGGUGCCGGAAGAUUAAAUGAUGGGGUGCAAGCUCUUGAUUGAAGUCCCGGUAAACGGCGGCCGUAACUAUAACGGUCCUAAGGUAGCGAAAUUCCUUGUCGGGUAAGUUCCGACCUGCACGAAUGGCGUAACGAUGGCCACACUGUCUCCUCCCGAGACUCAGCGAAGUUGAAGUGUUUGUGAUGAUGCAAUCUACCCGCGGCUAGACGGAAAGACCCCAUGAACCUUUACUGUAGCUUUGCAUUGGACUUUGAACCGAUCUGUGUAGGAUAGGUGGGAGGCUAUGAAACCGGAACGCUAGUUUCGGUGGAGCCGUCCUUGAAAUACCACCCUGGUUUGUUUGAGGUUCUAACCUUGGUCCGUGAUCCGGAUCGGGGACAGUGCAUGGUAGGCAGUUUGACUGGGGCGGUCUCCUCCCAAAGGGUAACGGAGGAGUACGAAGGUACGCUAGGUACGGUCGGAAAUCGUGCUGAUAGUGCAAUGGCAUAAGCGUGCUUAACUGCGAGACCGACAAGUCGAGCAGGUGCGAAAGCAGGUCAUAGUGAUCCGGUGGUUCUGUAUGGAAGGGCCAUCGCUCAACGGAUAAAAGGUACUCUGGGGAUAACAGGCUGAUACCGCCCAAGAGUUCAUAUCGACGGCGGUGUUUGGCACCUCGAUGUCGGCUCAUCUCAUCCUGGGGCUGUAGCCGGUCCCAAGGGUAUGGCUGUUCGCCAUUUAAAGAGGUACGUGAGCUGGGUUUAAAACGUCGUGAGACAGUUUGGUCCCUAUCUGCCGUGGGCGUUGGAUAUUUGAAGGGGGCUGCUCCUAGUACGAGAGGACCGGAGUGGACGAACCUCUGGUGUACCGGUUGUGACGCCAGUCGCAUCGCCGGGUAGCUAUGUUCGGAAGAGAUAACCGCUGAAAGCAUCUAAGCGGGAAACUCGCCUUAAGAUGAGAUAUCCCUGGAGGCUUGACCUCCUUGAAGGGUCGUUCGAGACCAGGACGUUGAUAGGUCGGGUGUGUAAGCGCAGUAAUGCGUUCAGCUAACCGAUACUAAUUGCCCGUAAGGCUUGAUC